RNAcentral lists this long non-coding RNA (2061 nucleotides) under Homo sapiens (human). Its description in RNAcentral is "HSALNT0405961". The record is from RNAcentral. Lineage: Eukaryota; Metazoa; Chordata; Mammalia; Primates; Hominidae.
UUGCACCACUGCACUCCAGCCUGGGCGAUACAGUGAGACCCAGUCUCAAAAAAAAAAAAAAAAGAGUCUUUUUUGAUGGUGGACAUCUUCCAAUGAGCAUUCACAUGGGACAGAUUUUUUUUUAGUUCUACCGUUGUUCUGAAAGCUCUAUGUAUGUUCCUCUUCCCUAAAAAUCUUUGUCACCAAGCCUCCAGAUUUAUUCCUUCUAAAAUGUUGAAAUUCCAGCUAAUUCCUUAGUUGUUACCCAGGAAACAAUGCAGAUCCUGGUCCGAGGAUGCAGCUCCUUCCAGGCAGCCUGGACUGUGAGGUGUGCUCCAUUGCUCUUCAGGAACCGUCCUUGAGAGGCGUUCCACAGCAGGCCAGACCUGGGGGGAGCAGGUGGGCCAGGCGGAAAGCACAGCACAAUUUGAGAGAUGCUGAGUACUCAUGACUCUGUGUAAGCACCUGAAUUCAGCCCUCAUGGUCUUUUCUGAGCUGUCAGUCAUUUAUCUCUAUUUAGUCAUUUUGCGAAUUGGAGUUAGCUUCCUUCCCUCUACACUCAAAGACGGCAUGUCAACAUUUUAGGCCUCUGGGUGGAAUGAACUCCCAGUUUCCUGGGAGGGAGCUGAUUGGCAUCUAUUCGCCUCUUCCUAGUUUUGUGGGGUUUCCCAGCAUGUGGAGUCAUAGAGAAAGACUGGUCCCACCUUCUAUGUAAUGCCCAAGAGAAUAGAUGACUCUCUGUCCACCCCCACCCUGGCAUCCAGGGCUUCUGGACAAGACCUAGGCUGGCUAAUUGGCUGCUUCCACAUGGGAUCCUGAAUCUGGAGCAAGUGAGGCAAAGCCCAGGGUGCUUAGAAUCCAUUCUCAGUGAGAGCAGCAGGACUGCCCGGGAGGGGAAUAGAGACGGGGACGACCGAGUCCUGCACCAGCAGAGAUGACGUCCGCAGGUGGCGGGGCAGCGCUGUGGCCGUGUCACUCCUCACAAAGCAGGGCUCUUGUGCUCGCAGCCUUCGAUACCGUCUCACUGUCUUGGCUUCUAUUUAUCUUCCAAGCCAAUUUCCAGCCUCCUACACACGUGGGGUUCUUCUGGUAUCAUUCCAGUGAAUUUCAUGUUGUUUUCUGCCCUAAGAAAACAGAGUUGGUACCUCUGCUCGACCAAGAAGCCUGAUUGAUACAGACUGAGAGCUGCAGGCUGUGUUUAUUUGCUUCAUUAACAAGAACAACUUAGGAAUGGCAACUUCCAUUGAUGAGCUUCCUACUUUGUUCUGCGGUUGGAAAACAAACAGUUGUUUCCCUGUUGACGACUGGCCACACUGGAGAGGUGAACAGUUCACUCUCAAGGCCAUACUGACUUGAACACUGGCUGUCUAGAAACAGAGAGGCAGGCAGCGGCAGACAGGAAGAGAGAUGGAGCAGAGUCCUCCAGCGGGAGCUGCACCUCGGAAGCAUCCUUAGAUGCGGCUUGGAGUUGGGAUCCUUCAAUUCCCCUCAGGAGAGUCAGCCAAAAAUAUCAACAGCCACAAUUUAUUGGACGCCUUCAGGAGAAAUGUCAAAGGCCUUUGUCCAAAGAAAAACAUUAACAUCUGCCAUUUUUCUAAAUUGAAUGUGAAAGAUGAUCCUGACAGGCUGAACAAAGAUGCUUGCUCUCUGUUGUGAUGUUUGACAAGGGAAUCUUCCUUCAUUUUCUCCUCUGAUGAGCCUCUCUACCAGAUAAGCAGCAGCAGGAACCAAACGUUUAAGAAAAAUGUAAAGACAUUAUUUUGUCCAUCACUUAACAUUUUUAUGAACAAGUUGGGAGGUAGCCUGCAUGAAUGCCUCUGUGCAAUGGAAUGAAUGGCCGGAGAUCUCACCAUCCCAGGAUGACUUUGGGGAAGGAAGACCCAAACAGCCCACUAUCACAUGCUGUCCUGCCUGCCUCAGGCCUCCUGUCCUUCUCUCCCUUGUGACCUGCAAACUAACCUUGAGGACUCAUGUCAACUGUCACUGCAUUGGAAGCCCUCUGUGAUAGUUAAUAUUGAGUGUCAACUUGAUUGGAUUGAAGGAUGCAAAGUAUUGUUCCUGGGUGUGUCUGUGAGGGUGUGG